This 253-nucleotide ribosomal RNA is filed under the name uncultured bacterium. RNAcentral's name for it is "partial 16S ribosomal RNA". It matches the Rfam family "Bacterial small subunit ribosomal RNA", at positions 524 to 776 of the family's 1533-position model. The record is from RNAcentral.
UACGGGGGGGGCAAGCGUUGUUCGGAAUUACUGGGCGUAAAGGGCGCGUAGGCGGCCUGCUAAGUCGGACGUGAAAUCCCUCGGCUUAACCGAGGAACUGCCGUCCAAACUGCUUUGCUUGAGGCCGGGAGAGGCGAGUGGAAUUCCCAGUGUAGCGGUGAAAUGCGUAGAUAUCGGGAGGAAUACCUAUGGCGAAGGCAGGUUACUGGGCCAUCACUGACGCUGAGCUGCGAAAGCUAGGGGAGCAAACAGG